Molecule: transfer RNA, 153 nt
Filed under: Candidatus Bathyarchaeota archaeon
Lineage: Archaea; Thermoproteati; Candidatus Bathyarchaeota
Description: tRNA-OTHER
Rfam family: tRNA
About the family: Transfer RNA (tRNA) molecules are approximately 80 nucleotides in length. Their secondary structure includes four short double-helical elements and three loops (D, anti-codon, and T loops).
Source: RNAcentral
GCGGGGGUGGCAGAGCCAGGUCAAACAGGCAGAUUUGGACUUAAUGCGCGGAGUAUAUGGCUAUCCUUCGCCAUAUGCGCGUAAGACUCAAGAUCUAAAAGGAUGGGGUAUCCCGUCCCGAAGGGGUUCGUGGGUUCGAAUCCCACCCCCCGC